Molecule: ribosomal RNA, 261 nt
Filed under: uncultured archaeon
Lineage: Archaea
Description: partial 16S ribosomal RNA
Rfam family: Archaeal small subunit ribosomal RNA
Source: RNAcentral
CAGCCGUAAACAGUGUGCGUUAGGUGUGUCGGUAACCACGUGUUACUGAUGCGCCGAAGAGAAAUCGUGAAACGCACCACCUGGGAAGUACGGUCGCAAGGCUGAAACUUAAAGGAAUUGGCGGGGGAGCACCACAACAGGUGGAGCCUGCGGUUUAAUUGGAUUCAACGCCGGACAUCUCACCGGAUAAGACAGCUGAAUGAUUGUCAAUCUGAAGGUUUUACGUGACUAGCUGAGAGGAGGUGCAUGGCGUCAGUGACU